Molecule: non-coding RNA, 236 nt
Filed under: Desulforamulus putei DSM 12395
Lineage: Bacteria; Bacillati; Bacillota; Clostridia; Eubacteriales; Peptococcaceae
Source: RNAcentral
GGAAUCCCACCGGGUAUGGUUUAGCCAGCCGCCCGUAGCUAGUCUUGGAACCGAUAGGGUAACCUAAAGGUUUAAGUGUAGACAAGCAAGUUAGCGGGCCGAAAGCACAAGCUGAAGGAACUGAGCCCCGAAAUACCUAUAAAAUUGGGAAGGCUGAUGCUGUUGCCAGAGCAGAAAGCAACAUUCCGGCAAUCAUUAUGGCGAGAUUGACGGAACUUUCCCGGGGUCGGAGACCU